RNAcentral lists this ribosomal RNA (468 nucleotides) under uncultured bacterium. RNAcentral's name for it is "partial 16S ribosomal RNA". It matches the Rfam family "Bacterial small subunit ribosomal RNA", at positions 28 to 507 of the family's 1533-position model. The record is from RNAcentral.
GACGAACGCUGGCGGCGUGCUUAACACAUGCAAGUCGAACGGAAAGGUCCUGCUUUUGUGGGGUGCUCGAGUGGCGAACGGGUGAGUAACACGUGAGUAACCUGCCCUUGACUUUGGGAUAACUUCAGGAAACUGGGGCUAAUACCGGAUAGGAGCUCCUGCUGCAUGGUGGGGGUUGGAAAGUUUCGGCGGUUGGGGAUGGACUCGCGGCUUAUCAGCUUGUUGGUGGGGUAGUGGCUUACCAAGGCUUUGACGGGUAGCCGGCCUGAGAGGGUGACCAGCCACAUUGGGACUGAGAUACGGCCCAGACUCCUACGGGAGGCAGCAGUGGGGAAUAUUGCACAAUGGGCGGAAGCCUGAUGCAGCAACGCCGCGUGCGGGAUGACGGCCUUCGGGUUGUAAACCGCUUUCGCCUGUGACGAAGCGUGAGUGACGGUAAUGGGUAAAGAAGCACCGGCUAACUACGUG